Molecule: ribosomal RNA, 468 nt
Filed under: uncultured bacterium
Lineage: Bacteria
Description: partial 16S ribosomal RNA
Rfam family: Bacterial small subunit ribosomal RNA
Source: RNAcentral
GACGAACGCUGGCGGCGUGCUUAACACAUGCAAGUCGAACGGAAAGGCCCUGCUUUUGUGGGGUGCUCGAGUGGCGAACGGGUGAGUAACACGUGAGUAACCUGCCCUUGACUUUGGGAUAACUUCAGGAAACUGGGGCUAAUACCGGAUAGGAGCUCCUGCUGCAUGGUGGGGGUUGGAAAGUUUCGGCGGUUGGGGAUGGACUCGCGGCUUAUCAGCUUGUUGGUGGGGUAGUGGCUUACCAAGGCUUUGACGGGUAGCCGGCCUGAGAGGGUGAACGGCCACAUUGGGACUGAGAUACGGACCAGACUCCUACGGGAGGCAGCAGUGGGGAAUAUUGCACAAUGGGCGGAAGCCUGAUGCAGCAGCGCCGCGUGCGGGAUGACGGCCUUCGGGUUGUAAACCGCUUUCGCCUGUGACGAAGCGUGAGUGACGGUAAUGGGUAAAGAAGCACCGGCUAACUACGUG